This 65-nucleotide transfer RNA is filed under the name Melanozosteria sp. Cairns, Australia. RNAcentral's name for it is "tRNA-Leu". It matches the Rfam family "tRNA". From Rfam's summary of the family: Transfer RNA (tRNA) molecules are approximately 80 nucleotides in length. Their secondary structure includes four short double-helical elements and three loops (D, anti-codon, and T loops). Lineage: Eukaryota; Metazoa; Arthropoda; Insecta; Blattodea; Blattidae. The record is from RNAcentral.
GCUAUUUUGGCAGACAAGUGCAAUGGAUUUAGAAUCUAUAUAUGUAGAUUUUUCUAUAAAUAGUA